GCCCUGGUAGUAUAGUUCGGCCCAGUAUGCCCGGCUGUCACCCGGGCGAUCCCGGGUUCAAAUCCCGGCCAGGGCGCCA
Molecule: transfer RNA, 79 nt
Filed under: Candidatus Bathyarchaeota archaeon
Lineage: Archaea; Thermoproteati; Candidatus Bathyarchaeota
Also listed under: 2 other names
Description: tRNA-Asp
Rfam family: tRNA
About the family: Transfer RNA (tRNA) molecules are approximately 80 nucleotides in length. Their secondary structure includes four short double-helical elements and three loops (D, anti-codon, and T loops).
Source: RNAcentral